This 449-nucleotide ribosomal RNA is filed under the name uncultured bacterium. Its description in RNAcentral is "partial 16S ribosomal RNA". It matches the Rfam family "Bacterial small subunit ribosomal RNA", at positions 29 to 523 of the family's 1533-position model. The record is from RNAcentral.
AACGAACGCUGGCGGCAUGCCUAACACAUGCAAGUCGAACGAAGGCUUCGGCCUUAGUGGCGCACGGGUGCGUAACGCAUGGGAAUCUGCCCCUCGGUUCGGAAUAACAGUUAGAAAUGACUGCUAAUACCGGCUGAUGACUUCGGUCCAAAGAUUUAUCGCCGAGGGAUGAGCCCGCGUAAGAUUAGGUAGUUGGUGGGGUAAAGGCCUACCAAGCCGACGAUCUUUAGCUGGUCUGAGAGGAUGAUCAGCCACACUGGGACUGAGACACGGCCCAGACUCCUACGGGAGGCAGCAGUGGGGAAUAUUGGACAAUGGGCGAAAGCCUGAUCCAGCAAUGCCGCGUGAGUGAUGAAGGCCUUAGGGUUGUAAAGCUCUUUUACCAGGGAUGAUAAUGACAGUACCUGGAGAAUAAGCUCCGGCUAACUCCGUGCCAGCAGCCGCGGUAA